This 824-nucleotide ribosomal RNA is filed under the name uncultured bacterium. RNAcentral's name for it is "bacterial SSU rRNA". It matches the Rfam family "Bacterial small subunit ribosomal RNA", at positions 1 to 872 of the family's 1533-position model. The record is from RNAcentral.
GGAUUCGAUUAGAGUUGAUCAUGGCUCAGAACGAACGCUGGCGGCAUGCCUAACACAUGCAAGUCGAACGAAGGCUUCGGCCUUAGUGGCGCACGGGUGCGUAACGCGUGGGAAUCUGCCCUUAGGUUCGGAAUAACAGUUGGAAACGACUGCUAAUACCGGAUGAUGACGUAAGUCCAAAGAUUUAUCGCCUGAGGAUGAGCCCGCGUAGGAUUAGCUAGUUGGUGUGGUAAGAGCGCACCAAGGCGACGAUCCUUAGCUGGUCUGAGAGGAUGAUCAGCCACACUGGGACUGAGACACGGCCCAGACUCCUACGGGAGGCAGCAGUGGGGAAUAUUGGACAAUGGGCGAAAGCCUGAUCCAGCGAUGCCGCGUGAGUGAAGAAGGCCCCUGGGUUGUAAAGCUCUUUCGUCGGGGAAGAAAAUGACUGUACCCGAAUAAGAAGGUCCGGCUAACUUCGUGCCAGCAGCCGCGGUAAUACGAAGGGACCUAGCGUAGUUCGGAAUUACUGGGCUUAAAGAGUUCGUAGGUGGUUGAAAAAGUUGGUGGUGAAAUCCCAGAGCUUAACUCUGGAACUGCCAUCAAAACUUUUCAGCUAGAGUACGAUAGAGGAAAGCAGAAUUUCUAGUGUAGAGGUGAAAUUCGUAGAUAUUAGAAAGAAUACCAAUUGCGAAGGCAGCUUUCUGGAUCAUUACUGACACUGAGGAACGAAAGCAUGGGUAGCGAAGAGGAUUAGAUACCCUCGUAGUCCAUGCCGUAAACGAUGUGUGUUAGACGUUGGAAAUUUAUUUUCAGUGUCGCAGCGAAAGCGAUAAACACACCGC